AACGAACGCUGGCGGCAUGCCUAACACAUGCAAGUCGAACGAGACCUUCGGGUCUAGUGGCGCACGGGUGCGUAACGCGUGGGAACCUGCCCUUAGGUUCGGAAUAACUCCCCGAAAGGGGUGCUAAUACCGGAUAAUGUCUUCGGACCAAAGAUUUAUCGCCUUUGGAUGGGCCCGCGUUGGAUUAGCUAGUUGGUAGGGUAAAAGCCUACCAAGGCGACGAUCCAUAGCUGGUCUGAGAAGAUGAUCAGCCACACUGGGACUGAGACACGGCCCAGACUCCUACGGGAGGCAGCGGUGGGGAAUAUUGGACAAUGGGCGAAAGCCUAAUCCAGCAAUGCCGCGUGAGUGAUGAAGGCCUUAGGGUUGUAAAGCUCUUUUACCCGGGAUGAUAAUGACAGUACCGGGAGAAUAAGCUCCGGCUAACUCCGUG
Molecule: ribosomal RNA, 433 nt
Filed under: uncultured bacterium
Lineage: Bacteria
Description: partial 16S ribosomal RNA
Rfam family: Bacterial small subunit ribosomal RNA
Source: RNAcentral